Molecule: ribosomal RNA, 301 nt
Filed under: uncultured bacterium
Lineage: Bacteria
Description: partial 16S ribosomal RNA
Rfam family: Bacterial small subunit ribosomal RNA
Source: RNAcentral
CAGUAGCCGCGGUAAUACGAAGGGUGCAAGCGUUAAUCGGAAUUACUGGGCGUAAAGCGCGCGUAGGUGGUUUGGUAAGAUGGAUGUGAAAUCCCCGGGCUCAACCUGGGAACUGCAUUCAUAACUGCCUGACUAGAGUACGGUAGAGGGUGGUGGAAUUUCCUGUGUAGCGGUGAAAUGCGUAGAUAUAGGAAGGAACACCAGUGGCGAAGGCGACCACCUGGACUGAUACUGACACUGAGGUGCGAAAGCGUGGGGAGCAAACAGGAUUAGAUACCCCUGUAGUCCCUGUCUCUUAUAC